GUUAUCACAACAAGUACCAAAUCAUGUGAAAAAUGAGAAUCAAGAGGUCUUUCAAGGUUGUAAUGUGGCUUAGGUUACAAGAAAGGAUAUGAUUAAGAGAAUUCAACAAAGUUGCCUAUCCUAAGGGAGCAUUCUCAAACAAUUAACUCUACACAAUUUCCCUUUCUUUGAUCCCUAUUUUUUUUUCUUUUUCCUUUUACAUCCACACAACCAUGAGCAUUUCUUUGUUUUUUUUUUUCUUUGCUCUAUGGUUUCAAGGGUGAUUUCUUUUUCUUGUUUCUUUUCAUAUUUUCACCCUUUUAUAAAAACUCACUUUUCCAAGUUUCUAAUCAACUUUUCACUUUACUCUCCCCAACUUUAG
Molecule: long non-coding RNA, 361 nt
Filed under: Lathyrus oleraceus (garden pea)
Lineage: Eukaryota; Viridiplantae; Streptophyta; Magnoliopsida; Fabales; Fabaceae
Description: Pisum sativum (pea) long non-coding RNA (PSAT_LNC002004)
Source: RNAcentral